CCAAUAGCGUAUAUUAAAGUUGUUGCAGUUAAAAAGCUCGUAGUUGAACUUCGGGGUUUACUCAUUGGUCAGGCUUAAUUGUCUGUACUGGUGAGCUGAAUCUCUACCUUCUGAGGAACUUUCAUGUCAUUUAUUUGGUGUGAUGGGAAAUCAGGACUGUUACUUUGAAAAAAUUAGAGUGUUUAAAGCAGGCUAACGUCUGAAUACAUUAGCAUGGAAUAAUGAAAUAGGACGGACUGAUUCUAUAUCGUUGGUUUCUAGGAUCACCGUAAUGAUUAAUAGGGAUAGUUGGGGGCAUGAGUAUUCAAUUGUCAGAGGUGAAAUUCUUGGAUUUAUUGAAGACUAACUACUGCGAAAGCAUUUGCCAAGGAUGUUUUCAUUAAUCAAGAACGAAAGUUAGGGGAUAGAAGACGAUCAGAUACCGUCGUAGUCUUAACCAUAAACUAUGCCGACUAGGGAUCGGACGAAGUUAAUUUUAUAAUGACGCGUUCGGCACCUUACG
RNAcentral lists this ribosomal RNA (502 nucleotides) under uncultured Glomeromycotina. RNAcentral describes it as "partial small subunit ribosomal RNA". It matches the Rfam family "Eukaryotic small subunit ribosomal RNA", at positions 591 to 1092 of the family's 1831-position model. Lineage: Eukaryota; Fungi; Glomeromycota. The record is from RNAcentral.